RNAcentral lists this ribosomal RNA (253 nucleotides) under uncultured bacterium. RNAcentral describes it as "partial 16S ribosomal RNA". It matches the Rfam family "Bacterial small subunit ribosomal RNA", at positions 524 to 776 of the family's 1533-position model. The record is from RNAcentral.
GACAGAGGGUGCAAACGUUGUUCGGAAUUACUGGGCGUAAAGCGCGUGUAGGCGGCUUGGCAAGUCGGGUGUGAAAGCCCUGGGCUCAACCUAGGAAGUGCACUCGAAACUGCUUCGCUUGAGUGUCGGAGAGGAAAGCGGAAUUCUCGGUGUAGAGGUGAAAUUCGUAGAUAUCGAGAGGAACACCGGUGGCGAAGGCGGCCUUCUGGACAGCCACUGACGCUGAGACGCGAAAGCGUGGGGAGCAAACAGG